AAGACUUUAAGUUAAAAAAACUAAAAACCUUCAAAGUUUUAAAUGACCUAAAAAUCAAGUCUUG
This 64-nucleotide transfer RNA is filed under the name Aporrectodea tuberculata. Its description in RNAcentral is "tRNA-Trp". Lineage: Eukaryota; Metazoa; Annelida; Clitellata; Crassiclitellata; Lumbricidae. The record is from RNAcentral.